GUGGGGAAUCUUGCGCAAUGGGCGAAAGCCUGACGCAGCGACGCCGCGUGAGCGAUGAAGGCCUUCGGGUUGUAAAGCUCUGUGGGGAGGAAAGAAUAAGGGUUGGCUAACAUCCAACCUGAUGACGGUACCUCCUUAGCAAGCACCGGCUAACUCUGUGCCAGCAGCCGCGGUAAGACAGAGGGUGCAAACGUUGUUCGGAAUUACUGGGCGUAAAGCGCGUGUAGGCGGCCCUGCAAGUCGGAUGUGAAAUCCCACGGCUCAACCGUGGAAGUGCAUUCGAAACUGCAGGGCUAGAGUCCUGGAGAGGAAGGUGGAAUGCUUGGUGUAGAGGUGAAAUUCGUAGAUAUCAAGCGGAACACCGGUGGCGAAGGCGGCCUUCUGGACAGUGACUGACGCUGAGACGCGAAAGCGUGGGGAGCAAACAGGAUUAGAUACCCUAGUAGUCC
This 449-nucleotide ribosomal RNA is filed under the name uncultured bacterium. RNAcentral describes it as "bacterial SSU rRNA". It matches the Rfam family "Bacterial small subunit ribosomal RNA", at positions 354 to 796 of the family's 1533-position model. The record is from RNAcentral.